This 247-nucleotide unclassified non-coding RNA is filed under the name rhizosphere metagenome. Its description in RNAcentral is "partial ribosomal RNA internal transcribed spacer region". The record is from RNAcentral.
GUAGGUGAACCUGCGGAAGGAUCAUUACACUCAGUAGUUUACUACUGUAAAGGAGACUGUUAGUCUGUAUAGCUUAAUCGCUGAUGAGCAGCUGGUCUCUUUUUCUCCACCCUUGUCUUUUGCGUACCCAUGUUUCCUCGGCAGGCUUGCCUGUCGAUUGGACAAUUCUAUAACCUUUUUAAUCUUCAAUCAGCGUCUGAAAAAAACGUAAUAAUUACAACUUUCAACAACGGAUCUCUUGGUUCUG